This 326-nucleotide ribosomal RNA is filed under the name uncultured bacterium. Its description in RNAcentral is "bacterial SSU rRNA". It matches the Rfam family "Bacterial small subunit ribosomal RNA", at positions 28 to 353 of the family's 1533-position model. The record is from RNAcentral.
GACGAACGCUGGCGGCGUGCUUAACACAUGCAAGUCGAACGGUGACCCGGAGCUUGCUCCGGUGAUCAGUGGCGAACGGGUGAGUAACACGUGGGCAAUCUGCCCCUGACUUCGGAAUAACUCCUCGAAAGAGGAGCUAAUACCGGAUACGACCACUUCGGGCAUCCGAUGGUGGUAGAAAGUUUCUCGGUCAGGGAUGAGCCCGCGGCCUAUCAGCUUGUUGGUGGGGUAACGGCCCACCAAGGCGACGACGGGUAGCCGGCCUGAGAGGGCGACCGGGCCACACUGGGACUGAGACACGGCCCAGACUCCUACGGGAGGCAGCA